RNAcentral lists this long non-coding RNA (782 nucleotides) under Homo sapiens (human). RNAcentral's name for it is "SATB1 antisense RNA 1". Lineage: Eukaryota; Metazoa; Chordata; Mammalia; Primates; Hominidae. The record is from RNAcentral.
UGUGGAAGCUCUUUGGAAACCAAGAAACACUCUGAAAAUGAAAAGGCAUAAGAAUGUUUAUCACAGCAUGGCAUAUAUUGGAAGUUUAGUAAAUGAAGAUACAUCCAAUCUGACAUUCUAUUCACAACCACAAAGAGAUAAUGUAGAAACAUAUUUAGUAAUGUGAGAAAAUACUAAAUAUUAAGUGAAAAAGGUGGAAGAGUAAACUGUUCCUGUUUCUCCAUCUUGACAGGAAGCAGAAGUUCUCCUUAGCUGAUUUUUCUUCUUGCCUUAUACUGGGUUCUUUAACACCAGAACAAAAAUAAAUAAAUAAAAGAAUCUUCCAGAAAUUCAUGAAGAGACUUCAGGUCAGGAAAGCCUGAACUUUCUCAUCCAACACCCGUUCAAGUCGGAGGAUGCUGAUUAAUUCAUGAUGGAAAGGUAUCAAUUUCACAGCCCAGACCUCUACAUUCUUGAAAUGCUCUUCUCAUGGGAGACAUUAAAUAAGCUUUGAAUUAACUGAGACCUCUGUGGAUUCUAUAACUCAAAGACCCAGGCUGACGGCUGGUGGAAUAGCUACCAUCUCAAACAUGGCGUGAUGCUGCAUCAGAGAGAAAAAUAAGCUCUUGCAUUGACAAUGAAAUGUCUACCCUGUAGUGACUUGUGCUUACUUCCACUCACAAGUGAUUGCCCAGAGCUACUUACCUGGCUCCAAUCUACCACUGGGUCAGACGUUUGCUGAAUUCAGUUCUGAGCUUUUGAACCAAAAGCAGAUCUUCAGAACAAGAAACAAGAUAAUAAAA